RNAcentral lists this ribosomal RNA (1536 nucleotides) under Klebsiella variicola. Its description in RNAcentral is "bacterial SSU rRNA". It matches the Rfam family "Bacterial small subunit ribosomal RNA". Lineage: Bacteria; Pseudomonadati; Pseudomonadota; Gammaproteobacteria; Enterobacterales; Enterobacteriaceae. The record is from RNAcentral.
UUGAAGAGUUUGAUCAUGGCUCAGAUUGAACGCUGGCGGCAGGCCUAACACAUGCAAGUCGAGCGGUAGCACAGAGAGCUUGCUCUCGGGUGACGAGCGGCGGACGGGUGAGUAAUGUCUGGGAAACUGCCUGAUGGAGGGGGAUAACUACUGGAAACGGUAGCUAAUACCGCAUAACGUCGCAAGACCAAAGUGGGGGACCUUCGGGCCUCAUGCCAUCAGAUGUGCCCAGAUGGGAUUAGCUGGUAGGUGGGGUAACGGCUCACCUAGGCGACGAUCCCUAGCUGGUCUGAGAGGAUGACCAGCCACACUGGAACUGAGACACGGUCCAGACUCCUACGGGAGGCAGCAGUGGGGAAUAUUGCACAAUGGGCGCAAGCCUGAUGCAGCCAUGCCGCGUGUGUGAAGAAGGCCUUCGGGUUGUAAAGCACUUUCAGCGGGGAGGAAGGCGAUAAGGUUAAUAACCUUGUCGAUUGACGUUACCCGCAGAAGAAGCACCGGCUAACUCCGUGCCAGCAGCCGCGGUAAUACGGAGGGUGCAAGCGUUAAUCGGAAUUACUGGGCGUAAAGCGCACGCAGGCGGUCUGUCAAGUCGGAUGUGAAAUCCCCGGGCUCAACCUGGGAACUGCAUUCGAAACUGGCAGGCUAGAGUCUUGUAGAGGGGGGUAGAAUUCCAGGUGUAGCGGUGAAAUGCGUAGAGAUCUGGAGGAAUACCGGUGGCGAAGGCGGCCCCCUGGACAAAGACUGACGCUCAGGUGCGAAAGCGUGGGGAGCAAACAGGAUUAGAUACCCUGGUAGUCCACGCUGUAAACGAUGUCGAUUUGGAGGUUGUGCCCUUGAGGCGUGGCUUCCGGAGCUAACGCGUUAAAUCGACCGCCUGGGGAGUACGGCCGCAAGGUUAAAACUCAAAUGAAUUGACGGGGGCCCGCACAAGCGGUGGAGCAUGUGGUUUAAUUCGAUGCAACGCGAAGAACCUUACCUGGUCUUGACAUCCACAGAACUUUCCAGAGAUGGAUUGGUGCCUUCGGGAACUGUGAGACAGGUGCUGCAUGGCUGUCGUCAGCUCGUGUUGUGAAAUGUUGGGUUAAGUCCCGCAACGAGCGCAACCCUUAUCCUUUGUUGCCAGCGGUUAGGCCGGGAACUCAAAGGAGACUGCCAGUGAUAAACUGGAGGAAGGUGGGGAUGACGUCAAGUCAUCAUGGCCCUUACGACCAGGGCUACACACGUGCUACAAUGGCAUAUACAAAGAGAAGCGACCUCGCGAGAGCAAGCGGACCUCAUAAAGUAUGUCGUAGUCCGGAUUGGAGUCUGCAACUCGACUCCAUGAAGUCGGAAUCGCUAGUAAUCGUAGAUCAGAAUGCUACGGUGAAUACGUUCCCGGGCCUUGUACACACCGCCCGUCACACCAUGGGAGUGGGUUGCAAAAGAAGUAGGUAGCUUAACCUUCGGGAGGGCGCUUACCACUUUGUGAUUCAUGACUGGGGUGAAGUCGUAACAAGGUAACCGUAGGGGAACCUGCGGUUGGAUCACCUCCUU